CAACCUUCCGUACACUCAGGGAUAGCCUUUCGAAAGAAAGAUUAAUACCUGAUGGUAUCUUAAGCACACAUGUAAUUAAGAUUAAAGAUUUAUCGGUGUACGAUGGGGAUGCGUUCCAUUAGGUAGUAGGCGGGGUAACGGCCCACCUAGCCUACGAUGGAUAGGGGUUCUGAGAGGAAGGUCCCCCACAUUGGAACUGAGACACGGUCCAAACUCCUACGGGAGGCAGCAGUGAGGAAUAUUGGUCAAUGGACGAGAGUCUGAACCAGCCAAGUAGCGUGAAGGAUGAAGGUCCUACGGAUUGUAAACUUCUUUUAUAAGGGAAUAAAACCUCCCACGUGUGGGAGCUUGUAUGUACCUUAUGAAUAAGCAUCGGCUAACUCCGUGCCAGCAGCCGCGGUAAUACGGAGGAUGCGAGCGUUAUCCGGAUUUAUUGGGUUUAAAGGGAGCGCAGACGGGUCGUUAAGUCAGCUGUGAAAGUUUGGGGCUCAACCUUAAAAUUGCAGUUGAUACUGGCGUCCUUGAGUGCGGUUGAGGUGUGCGGAAUUCGUGGUGUAGCGGUGAAAUGCUUAGAUAUCACGAAGAACUCCGAUUG
This 595-nucleotide ribosomal RNA is filed under the name uncultured Bacteroidota bacterium. RNAcentral describes it as "bacterial SSU rRNA". It matches the Rfam family "Bacterial small subunit ribosomal RNA", at positions 122 to 715 of the family's 1533-position model. The record is from RNAcentral. Lineage: Bacteria; Pseudomonadati; Bacteroidota.